RNAcentral lists this transfer RNA (64 nucleotides) under Ectrychotes andreae. RNAcentral describes it as "tRNA-Trp". Lineage: Eukaryota; Metazoa; Arthropoda; Insecta; Hemiptera; Reduviidae. The record is from RNAcentral.
AAAGCUUUAAGUUAUAAAAACUAUCAGCCUUCAAAGCUGAAAAAAUAAAAAGUUAUAAGCUUUA